UUUCCGUAGGUGAACCUGCGGAAGGAUCAUUUUCAUGACCCUGACCAAAACAGACCGCGCACGCGUCAUCCAAUCCACCGGCGACGGCACCGUCCGUCACUCGGCCAAGUCCUCGACCGCCUCCCCUCCUCGGAGUGGGGGCUCGGGGUAAAAGAACCCAUGGCGCUGAAGGCGUCAAGGAACACUGUGCCUAACCCGGGGGCAUGGCUAGCCUGCUAGUCGUCCCAUGUUUUGCAAAGCUAUUUAAUCCACACGACUCUCGGCAACGGAUAUCUCGGCUCUC
RNAcentral lists this unclassified non-coding RNA (283 nucleotides) under root metagenome. RNAcentral's name for it is "partial contains small subunit ribosomal RNA, internal transcribed spacer 1, and 5.8S ribosomal RNA". The record is from RNAcentral.